UACAGAGGUCUCAAGCGUUGUUCGGAUUCACUGGGCGUAAAGGGUGCGUAGGUGGUGGGGUAAGUCUCGUGUGAAAGCUCGCAGCUUAACUGCGAAAAGUCACGGGAUACUAUUCCGCUGGAGGCUUGGAGGGGGGACUGGAAUACUUGGUGUAGCAGUGAAAUGCGUAGAUAUCAGGAGGAACACCGAUGGCGAAGGCAGGUCUCUGGGCCACUACUGACGCUGAGAAGCGAAAGCAUGGGGAGCGAACAGG
This 253-nucleotide ribosomal RNA is filed under the name uncultured bacterium. RNAcentral describes it as "partial 16S ribosomal RNA". It matches the Rfam family "Bacterial small subunit ribosomal RNA", at positions 524 to 776 of the family's 1533-position model. The record is from RNAcentral.